RNAcentral lists this ribosomal RNA (1358 nucleotides) under uncultured bacterium. RNAcentral's name for it is "bacterial SSU rRNA". It matches the Rfam family "Bacterial small subunit ribosomal RNA", at positions 28 to 1381 of the family's 1533-position model. The record is from RNAcentral.
GAUGAACGCUAGCUACAGGCUUAACACAUGCAAGUCGAGGGGCAGCAUGGUCUUAGCUUGCUAAGGCCGAUGGCGACCGGCGCACGGGUGAGUAACACGUAUCCAACCUGCCGUCUACUCUUGGACAGCCUUCUGAAAGGAAGAUUAAUACAAGAUGGCAUCAUGAGUCCACAUGUUCACAUGAUUAAAGGUAUUCCCGUAGACGAUGGGGAUGCGUUCCAUUAGAUAGUAGGCGGGGUAAUGGCCCACCUAGUCUUCGAUGGAUAGGGGUUCUGAGAGGAAGGUCCCCCACAUUGGAACUGAGACACGGUCCAAACUCCUACGGGAGGCAGCAGUGAGGAAUAUUGGUCAAUGGGCGAGAGCCUGAACCAGCCAAGUAGCGUGAAGGAUGACUGCCCUAUGGGUUGUAAACUUCUUUUAUAAAGGAAUAAAGUCGGGUAUGCAUACCCGUUUGCAUGUACUUUAUGAAUAAGGAUCGGCUAACUCCGUGCCAGCAGCCGCGGUAAUACGGAGGAUCCGAGCGUUAUCCGGAUUUAUUGGGUUUAAAGGGAGCGUAGAUGGAUGUUUAAGUCAGUUGUGAAAGUUUGCGGCUCAACCGUAAAAUUGCAGUUGAUACUGGAUAUCUUGAGUGCAGUUGAGGCAGGCGGAAUUCGUGGUGUAGCGGUGAAAUGCUUAGAUAUCACGAAGAACUCCGAUUGCGAAGGCAGCCUGCUAAGCUGCAACUGACAUUGAGGCUCGAAAGUGUGGGUAUCAAACAGGAUUAGAUACCCUGGUAGUCCACACGGUAAACGAUGAAUACUCGCUGUUUGCGAUAUACAGCAAGCGGCCAAGCGAAAGCGUUAAGUAUUCCACCUGGGGAGUACGCCGGCAACGGUGAAACUCAAAGGAAUUGACGGGGGCCCGCACAAGCGGAGGAACAUGUGGUUUAAUUCGAUGAUACGCGAGGAACCUUACCCGGGCUUAAAUUGCAGAUGAAUUACGGUGAAAGCCGUAAGCCGCAAGGCAUCUGUGAAGGUGCUGCAUGGUUGUCGUCAGCUCGUGCCGUGAGGUGUCGGCUUAAGUGCCAUAACGAGCGCAACCCUUGUUGUCAGUUACUAACAGGUUCCGCUGAGGACUCUGACAAGACUGCCAUCGUAAGAUGUGAGGAAGGUGGGGAUGACGUCAAAUCAGCACGGCCCUUACGUCCGGGGCUACACACGUGUUACAAUGGGGGGUACAGAGGGCCGCUACCACGCGAGUGGAUGCCAAUCCCAAAAACCUCUCUCAGUUCGGACUGGAGUCUGCAACCCGACUCCACGAAGCUGGAUUCGCUAGUAAUCGCGCAUCAGCCACGGCGCGGUGAAUACGUUCCCGGGCCU